CCCGGUGGUUUACUUAACGGCCGCAAUGAAUAGUUGUGCUAAGGUAGCGUAGUAAGUUGCCCUUUAAAUGAGGGAAGGAAUGAAUGGUUUGACGUAGGGGUUUCUGUCUCUUUUUUGAGUAUUGAAAUUUUUAUUUUAGUGAAAAGGCUAAAUUUUUAUAAUUAGACGAGAAGACCCUGUCGAGCUUGAUUAAGUGGAAAAAUGUUUUUUUGUGGAAGUUUAGUUGGGGCAACUGAGGAGCAAAACUAGACUCCUUUAUCAGGAUGAGGAUCCAGAAGUUUUGAUUUAGAGAAAAAGCUACCGCAGGGAUAACAGCGUUAUCUUUUCUGAGAGAACAAAUUGAAGGAAAG
Molecule: ribosomal RNA, 350 nt
Filed under: Galeommatoidea sp. UF423591
Lineage: Eukaryota; Metazoa; Mollusca; Bivalvia; Galeommatida
Description: partial 16S ribosomal RNA
Rfam family: Bacterial large subunit ribosomal RNA
Source: RNAcentral